UGGCCAUAGACUUAAAAACUUAGUUUCAUAAAUUCCAUAGGACUACUCUCUUCUGCUAAGGUCGAUAGAUCUUAUAUAGGUGUACAUCCCACUCUUAAAGUGGACCAACUAUCGCCAACAUCUAUUACAAGGGCAUAUUAAGACCCAUGUUUAUGUGUAGUCAAACUCUAACAGCCUCACUGUGGGUAGCUGUAGCACUGCAGGUCAAAGGAUCAGUCAUAUAACUGCAGCAUCGAGAAAGUCACUAACGAGUGAGCAGACAUCCAUGUGACUUCUCGUGUUGGUCACGCUCAAUGCUAAUUAUUCUCUAACAACCAUCUGUACUCUCGCUCCAGUAUCACUACACCAUAGACUCGAGACCCAUCUGUCCGAAGAAAGCGAUUUGUGCACUGAUCUAUCUGGAUCAAUCGCCAUCUCCAUGAUGAUCCUAUAACUAGAAGCAAUUUAAAAAUUGACCAUCAAUGAUAUAUGUCUCAAAUUCUCAACUCUUUGAGAAUAUGUGUCAUCAUCUUGUUAAUUCUUUGGAUGAUUCAUAGAUACAUAAAAUAUGAAUGAUAAUAUAAAUAUCCAUAAAGUAUAAAAAUAUAUCCUAGAAAUAUAGUAUGCGUCAGCCAAGAUUGGCUUCUAGGGCAUAUAUCCAACAAUUUUUCACUUGCACUAAAGCCAAUCUGUCAUGAACCAAGCUCCAUCUUCUCAAGACAGACUUUAGUCUUAGGCUAGCUAAGUGAUUUAUCAG
Molecule: long non-coding RNA, 736 nt
Filed under: Elaeis guineensis (African oil palm)
Lineage: Eukaryota; Viridiplantae; Streptophyta; Magnoliopsida; Arecales; Arecaceae
Description: long non-coding RNA (EGUI_LNC053454)
Source: RNAcentral